RNAcentral lists this ribosomal RNA (493 nucleotides) under uncultured bacterium. Its description in RNAcentral is "partial 16S ribosomal RNA". It matches the Rfam family "Bacterial small subunit ribosomal RNA", at positions 29 to 508 of the family's 1533-position model. The record is from RNAcentral.
AGUGAACGCUGGCGGUAGGCCUAACACAUGCAAGUCGAACGGCAGCACAGUAAGAGCUUGCUCUUACGGGUGGCGAGUGGCGGACGGGUGAGGAAUACAUCGGAAUCUACUUUUUCGUGGGGGAUAACGUAGGGAAACUUACGCUAAUACCGCAUACGACCUACGGGUGAAAGCAGGGGAUCUUCGGACCUUGCGCGAUUGAAUGAGCCGAUGUCGGAUUAGCUAGUUGGCGGGGUAAAGGCCCACCAAGGCGACGAUCCGUAGCUGGUCUGAGAGGAUGAGCAGCCACGCUGGAACUGAGACACGGUCCAGACCACUGCGGGAGGGACCAGUGGGGAAUAUUGGACAAUGGGCGCAAGGCUGAACCAUGCAUACCGCGUGGGUGAAGAAGGCCGUCGGGUUGUAAAGCCCUUUUGUUGGGAAAGAAAAGCAGCAGGUUAAUACCCCGAUGUUCUGACGGUACCCAAAGAAUAAGCACCGGCUAACUUCGUGC